UACGGAGGUUGCAAGCGUUGUUCGGAAUAACUGGGCGUAAAGGGAGCGCAGGCGGCUUGGUAAGUCUAAAGUGAAAUUCCAGGGCUCAACCCUGGACGUGCCUUGGAUACUGCCUGGCUUGAGUACGUGAGAGGAGAUUGGAAUUCCAGGUGUAGCGGUGAAAUGCGUAGAUAUCUGGAGGAACACCGGUGGCGAAAGCGGAUCUCUGGCACGUUACUGACGCUGAGGCUCGAAAGCGUGGGGAGCAAACGGG
RNAcentral lists this ribosomal RNA (253 nucleotides) under uncultured bacterium. Its description in RNAcentral is "partial 16S ribosomal RNA". It matches the Rfam family "Bacterial small subunit ribosomal RNA", at positions 524 to 776 of the family's 1533-position model. The record is from RNAcentral.